GUGAAAACAUUCCGAGAGAUAAUUGUUUGCCCAAGGAGGAGGAGAGUUACUGCGGCAGUGCUCCUCAAUAAGGAGCAGGAAAACUCAUGAUGAGACAGGUGGAUUUGAGAAAGAUCAGGUCUCUGCCCACUCUCUCAUCCUCUGCAGGUUAUAGGAAGGUGAAGCCUGCUCAGAUCACACUGCUGAUGGAGCACUGGGAGUUGCUGUUUUAGAAACACUGACUUAAAAUGCUUUACAUUCAGAACAAUGACAUUUCUGCAAAAUUUCUUACUGGAACUUCUUAUACAAACAUAGAGAAAUCCCAUCUGGAUACUGCACAUAAGAUCUCGCAUCAAAAGAGAGGCAUGGAGGGGCUUAUGGAGGUGAUCAGAGAAACAUUUUCUCAUGACAGAAGGCUGGAAAUCUUGUCUUGCACAGUAAAACACUGAAAGAGGAGACAAUUGCAGUCUGUAAACAUCCAAGAACUAACUGCCAUGAGAGGAACUGUUUAAUUUAAUAGAGAUAUUUAGAUAAAGAUAUUAUAUGAAAACUUGCCACAAUCACAUCCAUCCGGUAAACUAGAAGAAGAAUUCCAGCUAUUAGGAGGAUGAAGAUGGGGAACUCUCUUCCGAAAAGUCAUGUUUUACAAAAAGGAAAAUGAGACCCAAAAAAUGAAGAUCCCAAAUUCAUACAUAACUUUUGUGUCAGAGACAAUGCCAGACCAGGUUCCCUAAAACAAAAUCAAUGUUCUUAUCAGUGAGGGUCAAAUGUGUUGAAAGGAUGGCUUCCUGGGCCAAAUUUUACAAUCCAAUGUAGGUGAAGUUAGUAAAGAAAACUAAUGUGAGAAAAUAGAUUACAUUUUUCUGAUAUUAAUAAACUGUUAAUAAAUAAUAAAUCAAUUGUUAGUGGUAAAUCAGUACCACUGAUUAAUCCUGGGAGUGAUUAAAAAUAUUUUCCUCUGAGGAAAAAAGAGCAUUACCUUAGGAUGCUACAAAAUUAAUCAAGAUGAUUUUGGCCAGUCUUUUCCUUCUUCUGCAUGGCAAAGAAAGCAAUUUAUUGAUAACUCAGUGUAUCUGUUCUCCUGUUUGGUUUUUUUUUUCCUUUUAAAUUUAAUUUUUGAAAUUGUCAAUACAGUCAUGUCCUCAGGGAGUAGCAUCCAUGAUUGUAAAGUUCAGUUACAAACAAAAAGGCUUAGACACUUCUCUUUAUUCUGAACUCCUUUUGAUUUGGGAUUAUCACCUGAGUGUAAUCUAAUUUUUUUCCUCACACAGUGCUUGUCAAUCUGUAGACCUGUAAUUUUCUUUCUCAGUGCCAGAAGAGAUCAAUGAGAAGCUCUAUUCCAGGAUUCCCAAGGGUGUUUCCCUCAUCAGUUUCAUUACCAGGCCUAUUUUAUGUCAAGCCCUAUACACUACUUGCUUCAUCAGAUUUCUCUAAACCCUAAUUCCAAUACCAAAAUCACACAUUUAUCCUUUUACAGUUAAUCCUCAGAUGCUCACUUUAUGCAACCAGAGAGAUGUACUUGCUAUUCAGGAGUAGAAGUGGUAUUUGUUUGGUUCCUCAGGUCCCUGUUGCCUCACCCCACGCUGGGACAGGGACUGUGUUCCUGCUAUAAACAUGUUGUCACCAUCUCCAGGAGGGAAAUGGUGACACAGGGUCACACACUCUCCUCACUGUUCCCUCAUGCUCACAAGGAUGUUCACUGCCUGUCUUGGGAACCUGGAUUCCCACACAGUAUUAAAAAUGCAGUCCCAGCCUUCUUUUCCCUUUGGCCUUGCAUGAGGCAGAAUCUCUCGCAUUUUGGGUAGCCCUACUUUGUAAAAUGUUUAGUUUCUGAUCCACACUCGAGUUAGAAAGUCACCUUUGGUAAGAGCAAGCAACUCAGUCGUCUCAUCUUGGACUCCUACCACUGGAACCAGAGAGUGCACUCAGUUUAUCCAGUCAACAUGCUGGACAAUGCUUGAAAGAGAAGCAGGAGGACGUGCAGGAAUCUUUUGCAGGAAAGGUCGGGCACAACCACAUUAUUUACAUUCCUGCUUCUCUGCAGGCAUUUCUGUUCUCUGGCAAUUUCUUUCAGCAACAUUUCUUUAAGCAAAAUUUCCUUCCUUCCAUAGGAAGGUCUGAAUUAUGCCAUCUUACCAGUUUUCCUCUUUUGUUUCAAGAAACAAAAUCCUUCAUUUUCCUUUUUUCCAGUAAAAUUGAAAGACCAGUUUCUCACAUAAGGUCAGUGUAUUGGAAUUUAAUUUCCCCAGUACAAUGCGGUCUUAAACAAAGACAUGCAGGGAUGCAGAGGUGAAGGUUAUUGCUUUCUUAAGAGUUGAUGUGUUGUCCUGUCUCCCUAGGGAGAGACAUUACUACUUCCCUCUCUCUACUUGUCUAUCAAAGUGCUGCCAUUAACCCCCAAAUGUCUUACCUCAUCCCCUGUGAGGCUCCAAUGAGUUAAUAACCACAGCAGCUCUGCAGAGAAAAGCAGCUGAGAAGAAAUACACAGGCAAAAUUUGAGGGUUUGUUUAUUGGUGUGAGCCAUGGAAACAUUCCUGUAAGACUUUCACAGCACCUCCCUGCAUCACUGUAAACAUACACAGUUUACAUACAUUUCUGCCUAAAUAUCUUCAGAGAGCUGGGGCAGAAAGGUUUAAGUAUGUCUUGCAGUAAGUUCUUAGGUGAUUUAGGGCAUUUCCUGAUACAACAAUGCUGAACUUGUACUUUUCAAAUCAACAUGUGGCACUGUCAGGAAUCUUUGCAUGCUGUCCUUGAUCCCAGCACAGGAGAGAAGUUACUGGGAACUGCUUAGGGACUCCCAUGCAGAAGCUGAAGCAUCUUUGAGAGAAACAGACUGCCCUGGGAGGUACAGGACUUGUGUGUGCAUGUGAUGGCAGGAGGGACAGCAGGAGCUUCUUGCCAAGGCACAAAGGUGAGGGAGAGCCCCACAUCCUCUGCCAGCCCCUGGUCCCACAAGCUGCCGAGGCACCACAGUGUUGUUCUCACAGGUGCACUGUGCAGGUGUGGAGGCAAACUUCACAUCCCUGCCUGCAAAACCCGGUGUGAUGCUGGUGCAGUGCCACAGAGGCAGAGCUCCACUGCUCAGCUGGAAUUGAGAAUUAAAUGCUGCGCUGGGAGCUGCCGCUGGGCACGCUGAGCUGUCACUCUUCAAAGGGCUUGGUUGUGUAAGCGGACCAAGGGAAUCACUAAACCACAGACAAUGAAAACAAUUUUAAAUGAGAGACUAAAUGAAAGGAAAAAGUUGUCAAAAUGUCAAGGUUAAUGUUUUCAUAAAACUAACCUGGGAAUGGCUAGACAGUAUAAGUGUAAACCUUAAUUAAAAGUUUUAAAGUGUGAAUACAAAACUAGCUUCAGUCUAGACAGUCAAUAAAUCUAUCCUCCUUAAUGA
Long non-coding RNA from Taeniopygia guttata (zebra finch), 3367 nucleotides. Lineage: Eukaryota; Metazoa; Chordata; Aves; Passeriformes; Estrildidae. The record is from Ensembl.